Molecule: transfer RNA, 73 nt
Filed under: Eubacterium sp.
Lineage: Bacteria; Bacillati; Bacillota; Clostridia; Eubacteriales; Eubacteriaceae
Description: tRNA-Ile
Rfam family: tRNA
About the family: Transfer RNA (tRNA) molecules are approximately 80 nucleotides in length. Their secondary structure includes four short double-helical elements and three loops (D, anti-codon, and T loops). Further hydrogen bonds mediate the characteristic L-shaped molecular structure. tRNAs have two regions of fundamental functional importance: the anti-codon, which is responsible for specific mRNA codon recognition, and the 3' end, to which the tRNAs corresponding amino acid is attached (by aminoacyl-tRNA synthetases). tRNAs cope with the degeneracy of the genetic code in two manners: having more than one tRNA (with a specific anti-codon) for a particular amino acid; and 'wobble' base-pairing, i.e. permitting non-standard base-pairing at the 3rd anti-codon position.
Source: RNAcentral
GCCCUUAUAACUCAGUUGGUAGAGUAUCGUCUUGAUAAGGCGGAAGUCGAAGGUUCAACUCCUUCUGAGGGCA